RNAcentral lists this long non-coding RNA (459 nucleotides) under Androctonus crassicauda. Lineage: Eukaryota; Metazoa; Arthropoda; Arachnida; Scorpiones; Buthidae. The record is from RNAcentral.
AAGUAAUAGUGUGUUAUGAUAAAUGUUAAAAAGUUUUGGUUUUAUAAAAGUACACAUUUUAUCCUCAUAAUUUAUUUUGCCUGCCUGUUUUCAAAAGCUCCACUUAAACAAAUCCAAAACUUAAAAAAUCCAAGAUUGAUAUUAUUUAGUAUGUGUAUAUGGGGUUUACUUGAUGGAUUCUUUAUUUCAAAAUAUUGGCUUAAACUGCAGCAAUGGCAUCUGACAUCUGCCCGAAAUAAACUUGUUAUUGCAUAUGUAAGUUGACCUUGAGGCUAUCCAUUAGUUCAUUAAGCUUCAUAGUAAGAACAUUGAUGACUUCUUCAAAGAAACAUAAUGUUAAUCAAAUCUGUAGUUAGAAAAUUUGUUUGAGAAAAGAUUUCAAUUGUCUAAUUUUUUCAAAAUCAUAAAUAAUAUUAAGCAAAAUUACAGUUUAUUAAAGUUAUUUUUGUUAAAUUGUAC